GGAUUCCAGCGACAGCCAGUUUAGUUCUUUUAGCAUGUCACAAUGGUGGGUCCUGUAAUUACAUUGUAGCACAAAGUGGCAGAACGAGUUAUACAAUGUAUUAAGCUUAUUUAGGUGAGUUUGAGGUGCAGGUGCAUAUACUACAUCAAUGAUUGGCAUCAGCAUUUGCUGUACAAUCUUUUCCUUUACUGUGGGGCUUAGGCAGG
This is a non-coding RNA of Pelobates cultripes (western spadefoot toad), 206 nucleotides long. Lineage: Eukaryota; Metazoa; Chordata; Amphibia; Anura; Pelobatidae. The record is from the annotation of a GenBank genome assembly.